CUGGCGGAAUGCUUUACACAUGCAAGUCGAACGGCAGCACGGGAGCUUGCUCCUGGUGGCGAGUGGCGAACGGGUGAGUAACAUAUCGGAACGUAUCCAAUAAUGGGGGAUAACUAAUCGAAAGGUUGGCUAAUACCGCAUACGUCCUACGGGAGAAAGCAGGGGACCUUCGGGCCUUGCGUUAAUGGAGCGGCCGAUAUCUGAUUAGCUGGUUGGUGGGGUAAAGGCUCACCAAGGCGACGAUCAGUAGCUGGUCUGAGAGGACGACCAGCCACACUGGAACUGAGACACGGUCCAGACUCCUACGGGAGGCAGCAGUGGGGAAUUUUGGACAAUGGGCGCAAGCCUGAUCCAGCCAUUCCGCGUGAGUGAAGAAGGCCUUCGGGUUGUAAAGCUCUUUCGCAAGGGAAGAAACGAUACAAGCGAAUAACUUGUGUUAAUGACGGUACCUUGAUAAGAAGCACCGGCUAACUACGUGCCAGCAGCCGCGGUAAUACGUAGGGUGCGAGCGUUAAUCGGAAUUACUGGGCGUAAAGCGUGCGCAGGCUGUUUUGUAAGUCAGAUGUGAAAUCCCCGAGCUCAACUUGGGAACUGCGUUUGAAACUACAAGACUAGAAUAGGUCAGAGGGGGGUAGAAUUCCACGUGUAGCAGUGAAAUGCGUAGAGAUGUGGAGGAAUAUCAAUGGCGAAGGCAGCCCCCUGGGAUCAUAUUGACGCUCAUGCACGAAAGCGUGGGGAGCAAACAGGAUUAGAUACCCUGGUAGUCC
Molecule: ribosomal RNA, 767 nt
Filed under: uncultured bacterium
Lineage: Bacteria
Description: bacterial SSU rRNA
Rfam family: Bacterial small subunit ribosomal RNA
Source: RNAcentral